This 1009-nucleotide ribosomal RNA is filed under the name Salmonella enterica. RNAcentral's name for it is "partial 23S ribosomal RNA". It matches the Rfam family "Bacterial large subunit ribosomal RNA", at positions 161 to 1211 of the family's 2925-position model. RNAcentral also lists the same sequence under 1 other name. Lineage: Bacteria; Pseudomonadati; Pseudomonadota; Gammaproteobacteria; Enterobacterales; Enterobacteriaceae. The record is from RNAcentral.
AAUCCAUAGGUUAAUGAGGCGAACCGGGGGAACUGAAACAUCUAAGUACCCCGAGGAAAAGAAAUCAACCGAGAUUCCCCCAGUAGCGGCGAGCGAACGGGGAGGAGCCCAGAGCCUGAAUCAGCAUGUGUGUUAGUGGAAGCGUCUGGAAAGGCGCGCGAUACAGGGUGACAGCCCCGUACACAAAAGCGCAUGUGCUGUGAGCUCGAUGAGUAGGGCGGGACACGUGGUAUCCUGUCUGAAUAUGGGGGGACCAUCCUCCAAGGCUAAAUACUCCUGACUGACCGAUAGUGAACCAGUACCGUGAGGGAAAGGCGAAAAGAACCCCGGCGAGGGGAGUGAAAAAGAACCUGAAACCGUGUACGUACAAGCAGUGGGAGCACCCUUUGGGUGUGACUGCGUACCUUUUGUAUAAUGGGUCAGCGACUUAUAUUCUGUAGCAAGGUUAACCGAAUAGGGGAGCCGGAGGGAAACCGAGUCUUAACCGGGCGUUAAGUUGCAGGGUAUAGACCCGAAACCCGGUGAUCUAGCCAUGGGCAGGUUGAAGGUUGGGUAACACUAACUGGAGGACCGAACCGACUAAUGUUGAAAAAUUAGCGGAUGACCUGUGGCUGGGGGUGAAAGGCCAAUCAAACCGGGAGAUAGCUGGUUCUCCCCGAAAGCUAUUUAGGUAGCGCCUCGUGAAUUCAUCUCCGGGGGUAGAGCACUGUUUCGGCUAGGGGGCCAUCCCGGCUUACCAACCCGAUGCAAACUGCGAAUACCGGAGAAUGUUAUCACGGGAGACACACGGCGGGUGCUAACGUCCGUCGUGAAGAGGGAAACAACCCAGACCGCCAGCUAAGGUCCCAAAGUCAUGGUUAAGUGGGAAACGAUGUGGGAAGGCCCAGACAGCCAGGAUGUUGGCUUAGAAGCAGCCAUCAUUUAAAGAAAGCGUAAUAGCUCACUGGUCGAGUCGGCCUGCGCGGAAGAUGUAACGGGGCUAAACCAUGCACCGAAGCUGCGGCAGCGA